Molecule: ribosomal RNA, 459 nt
Filed under: uncultured bacterium
Lineage: Bacteria
Description: bacterial SSU rRNA
Rfam family: Bacterial small subunit ribosomal RNA
Source: RNAcentral
GACGAACGCUGGCGGCGUGCCUAACACAUGCAAGUCAACUUGACUGAAGGAGCAAUCUGACAGUAGAGUGGCGCAAGGGUGCGUAACGCGUAAGUAACUUGCCCAAGGUAAGGAAUAACGUCGAGAAAUCGGCGCUAAUACCUCAUAAUGCAGCGGAUCCGCAUGGAUAUGUUGUUAAAGGUUUACCGCCUUGGGAUAGGCUUGCGUCUGAUUAGCUAGUUGGUGUGGUAACGGCACACCAAGGCUACGAUCAGUAACUGGUCUGAGAGGAUGAUCAGUCACACUGGAACUGAGACACGGUCCAGACUCCUACGGGAGGCAGCAGUGAGGAAUAUUGGGCAAUGCUCGAAAGAGUGACCCAGCAACGCCGCGUGGAGGAUGAAGGUAUUCUAUAUCGUAAACUCCUGUGAGAGCAGACGAAAGACAGAUUAUUAAUCUGGAUGACUGUAUGCUCAGAGG